RNAcentral lists this small nucleolar RNA (179 nucleotides) under Hapsidospora chrysogenum ATCC 11550. The record is from RNAcentral. Lineage: Eukaryota; Fungi; Ascomycota; Sordariomycetes; Hypocreales; Bionectriaceae.
CCGUCUUAUGCCGCGCUCGAUCAACCAUCACGCCAGAGGGUUGAUCUUGAGCUGGAUGCCCGGACACCUUUCGGUGUCCCAGUACUAGACGAGAAUAAGUUGGCAACGUUUUUUGAGUACGGAACCUUUUAGUGAUCUCACCAGAUGGAGGCUUCCGUAAUUUAUCUGUUGUUACAUUU